RNAcentral lists this ribosomal RNA (598 nucleotides) under uncultured bacterium. RNAcentral's name for it is "bacterial SSU rRNA". It matches the Rfam family "Bacterial small subunit ribosomal RNA", at positions 60 to 671 of the family's 1533-position model. The record is from RNAcentral.
AGUCGAACGAGCGAGAGAGAGCUUGCUUUCUUGAGCGAGUGGCGAACGGGUGAGUAACGCGUGAGGAACCUGCCUCAAAGAGGGGGACAACAGUUGGAAACGACUGCUAAUACCGCAUAAGCCCACAGCUCGGCAUCGAGCAGAGGGAAAAGGAGCAAUCCGCUUUGAGAUGGCCUCGCGUCCGAUUAGCUAGUUGGUGAGGUAACGGCCCACCAAGGCGACGAUCGGUAGCCGGACUGAGAGGUUGAACGGCCACAUUGGGACUGAGACACGGCCCAGACUCCUACGGGAGGCAGCAGUGGGGAAUAUUGCACAAUGGGGGAAACCCUGAUGCAGCGACGCCGCGUGGAGGAAGAAGGUCUUCGGAUUGUAAACUCCUGUUGUUGAGGAAGAUAAUGACGGUACUCAACAAGGAAGUGACGGCUAACUACGUGCCAGCAGCCGCGGUAAAACGUAGGUCACAAGCGUUGUCCGGAAUUACUGGGUGUAAAGGGAGCGCAGGCGGGAAGACGAGUUGGAAGUGAAAUCCAUGGGCUCAACCCAUGAACUGCUUUCAAAACUGUUUUUCUUGAGUAGUGCAGAGGUAGGCGGAAUUCCC